RNAcentral lists this non-coding RNA (121 nucleotides) under Tiarina fusus. Lineage: Eukaryota; Ciliophora; Prostomatea; Prorodontida; Colepidae. The record is from RNAcentral.
GGCGGUGGCGGCAACAAAAAGCACGGCGACCGCCCCAAACGUGACCCCGAUUGUACGUUGGUGAUCAAAAACUUGAGCGAAAAUACCAAGGAUUCCGAUUUGAGGGCAUUGUUCGAAAAGU